RNAcentral lists this ribosomal RNA (375 nucleotides) under uncultured Methanolinea sp. RNAcentral describes it as "bacterial SSU rRNA". It matches the Rfam family "Archaeal small subunit ribosomal RNA", at positions 964 to 1338 of the family's 1478-position model. The record is from RNAcentral. Lineage: Archaea; Methanobacteriati; Methanobacteriota; Methanomicrobia; Methanomicrobiales; Methanoregulaceae.
GACUCUGCUUGACUAGCUGAGAGGAGGUGCAUGGCCGUCGUCAGUUCGUACUGUGAAGCAUCCUGUUAAGUCAGGCAACGAGCGAGACCCACGCCAACAGUUGCCAGCAUGUCCUCCGGGAUGAUGGGGACACUGUUGGGACCGCCUCUGCUAAAGAGGAGGAAGGAAUGGGCAACGGUAGGUCAGCAUGCCCCGAAUUAUCCGGGCUACACGCGGGCUACAAUGGUCAGGACAAUGGGUAUCGACACCGAGAGGUGGAGGCAAUCUCCUAAACCUGUCCUUAGUUCGGAUUGUGGGCUGCAACUCGCCCACAUGAAGCUGGAAUCCGUAGUAAUCGCGUUUCAAAAUAGCGCGGUGAAUAUGUCCCUGCUCCUU